Molecule: long non-coding RNA, 3392 nt
Organism: Gopherus agassizii (Agassiz's desert tortoise)
Lineage: Eukaryota; Metazoa; Chordata; Testudines; Testudinidae
Source: Ensembl
CAGAGAGAAAAGAGAUCACUCCCUACCCUGAGAAGAGGGAUGCUUGCAUCUGGGCAGCUCGGGGGUAGCAUGUCUGGUUUGGUGUUCUCCCUCAGAAAAUGUCAGCUUCCCUUGUUGCAGCUGGGUUCUGGGCCAUGACUCUAAUCCAGACGUGGGACUCAGUAGCAGCUGGAAUCAAUGGAGGUGGAGCUCCAACAGCUUGUCUGAUCUGCUCUUCAAUCUCCACUCUCCUACAAAGGGAAGUGCAGGGGGUUUUAUUUAGCGCUGGGCUCGGCAGGUUGUGGGGUGGGGAGUUCAGGCCAAAGGGAAGGCAUUAUAGGAGUGUUUGUGCAGCAGAGUGGGGAAAUGGGGUCAGGGUUUCUAGCCACAGGAAGGGGAUUAUAGAGGUGUUUGUGUGAGAGAUGGAGGCACUGGCUUGCUGGCAUGGGGUGCAUGUGUGCUGUGAGGAGGGUUGCUGAGCAGAAUCUUACUUGAGCAUAAGAUAUUGCUGAGCUCUUCUUCCUGUGCUGGCAGGCACCCUACCAGCCGAGGGGCUACUCAAGUUCAUCCUUAGCUGGCAGGCCAAUGUGAUGCUGAGCUCUCACCUUCCCAGGCCUGUUUUGCUACAUCAGCGCCUGCUCCUGGUGUCCUUGGCACUAUUUUUAACAGCAUGUGUUUGCCGCAAGGAAAGCUGAUAUCCAUCUUGUCCAUUUAUCAGUGUUGCUUCCCUGGAAAGACAAAGGCUAAAUUUAUCCCCCUCCUCAUCAGCCAAGCGAGGCGAGAGAAAUGCUCCCCGCUCCAGCCCGGUCACACACACUGACAUUGGUGGUCCGGGGGAAUCUUGCAUGUCCAACAUCCAUAAACAAGGCUGGGGCCAAAUCCACUUACACAGAUGGCCGUGCACAGACCAGCCUCAGGGCUUGUCUACACUUGAAUGCUAUAGUGGCACAGCUAGUAUAGACGUUACCUAUGCCAAUGGGAGGGAAGAUUUCUUCUGUUGACCAAGCACUGUCUACAGAGGGACUCAGGUCGGCUUAACUAUGUCACUCAGGACACCCCUGAGAGCUAUAACUGGGUCGAUCUAAUCUAGUGUAGACCAAUCCUCACACAGCCCAGUUAGCUGGGGAUACUCACCGACUCCAGGAUGCAAACACCACCACACGUACAAAACACAUGCCUGCCUGAGUCACAUGCCCUCCUUCACUUUGAUCAGUGCAUCUUGAGUGAAUCGGAUCUGGGGCUAAAUUCCUUGUUGGCGUAAACUGGUACAACUUCAUUGGCUUCUGUGGAUUUGGGCUAAUUCACACCAGCAACCUGUCUGGCCCCUGGGGUUCUCAGCUCUUCCUUCAUUAAUUCUUUUAAAUUUGUGAAGCAUGUGCCAAGACACAAUGGUGAUGGACCCACUAAAAAUGCCUCUGAGGCAGAUAAACGAUGCCACGCUGGGUGUUGACAGGAACUCCCCUGAAUUGAUAUCAGUCUGUCUCAUGACCAUAACAAGCCUGAUACUUCUAUCUUCCCCCUCCCAGUCUCCCUAUAUGCCUGAUUCAGAAAUGGAUGGCAGUAAGCCCCUGAUUUCCAAAGAAACCUGGGAUAUUAGGCUGAAUGCUACAGCACACAAAGUCCUUUCCUAAGGAUUUCACAUUCAAUGGUUUCCAUCACCACUAGGUGGUGUAGAUCUGCUGCUAAAUUUUCUCCAUGGCAAAAGUAGAUGAUGUUACCUUGUUUUAACAGAGAAAAAUCACGGACUGUGGAAAUACCUCCUUUCCUCCUCCCUACCUGGAUGCAUCAAGAGAGGGUCAGGUCAUGACAGCAACAGAGGAAAAGGCCAUUACUGAAACUUUACAGAAGUCCCAGUGGCCACCUCUUCCAACUGGCUUGGAAAGAUUCCUACAAACUUUCUGUCCCAUGAGACUGAAGACAGCUUAUCUUAUAUUGGGCAUGCCCAGACUUUGCCUAGCUGGGAGACAUGCAUUAGCAACUUCCAGAAGCCCAAGGGAUCAACUUUAAUUUGUAUAAAAUCAUGUGACCCCUGGAGACUACACAUCCUGGCAUGCAAUGUGCUACCUUGAUCCAAACAACCCUUCCUUAUGGAUCAAGAUGGAGCACUGCAUGUAAAGUUUCAAGGGCCAAUCUUUGUGUAUUAAAGACCAGGUGAGCUGCAGGCUACAUUCCAGAACCUGGAGAAUGGCAUUCAACCCACAGGCCGCCCCAUGUCCACCCCUUUAUGGAGCAGGGUUUGAACUGACAAUGCUGAGCCAUUCUAGUGGCCCUGGUCUUUCAUCUGGUCUCAGCAUGGGUGUCAUUAGAGGGCUUCUGGAACUGUCAAGUCAGCUGUUUCCAAAACAAGCACUGCUCUUGCUUCACGUGGUGAUGCCAGGAGGUUUGCCCUUGCAGGUGCACCUUGUCAUGAGUUACUGUUCCCUGGGUCUGGUUGUUUGCAGGUUUUCCUGCUGAGUUCCAUUAGCGUUCAUCCAUUCCAGCCCCUCUGCCCUCCUGGCACGCACCCUAUUCCAAGGGGAUCAGUCAGGAUCAGAUGAGGGAGAGUUAUACUAGGCAGCACUUGUGUGUUGGCAAACAGACUGUGGUAUGCGCUGUCUCCAGGGAAGGUCCGGCUUACACUUUAUACUGUUUGGAAAACUUGGGCCCAAUCCUGUGAGGCUGUGAGUGCUCUCAACUCCCUUUGAGGUCAGCAGGAGCACAGACUUUUGGGCUAAAUCUGGCCCCAAAGUGAGGGUUCAUUAAAGUUGUGUAAAACUUAUAACUAUUACAAAUGUUACAAAUUACUUAUAACUAUUAAAAAAAUUUUUUUUACCAGAAAUCAAAUUAACGAAAGUAUUUGCAAGCUAAAUAUNUCUAUUAAAAAAAAUUUUUUUACCAGAAAUCAAAUUAACGAAAGUAUUUGCAAGCUAAAUAUUUCAAGGGCAUGUCAGUGCAUGAAAGCCCUCAAGUGAGACUCACCACUUGAAACUGGAAACAAAAAGUAAAAGGAACUGAUCUGUGUUUAAUGACCAGGUUGACUGAAAGUGCAUUGAGAAAACAGGCACAUUGAGAAAUUGAGAAAACGGGCAUUGAGAAAACAGGCACAUUAAAUCUUACUUGGUUAUUAAUGAUCAUUAUUAUUGCUUUGUGCUGAUAAUCUGUAUAAAACAUACAUAAAGACAGCCCGUUUUUUACAAUCUUAGGCCCUGAUGCUGUAAUUGGAUCCGUACCAGCAGCUUCACUGAAGUCUAUGGGACUUUGCAUGGGUGUCAGAAUGUGUGUAUCUGGAUCUGACUGCAGAACUGGACCCACAGACCAGACACACUUGGAAGGAAAAACAUACUAGGACAAACAGAGACGGAGUAGUUUAGGGUAUUAGUGAGAUUCCCCUCCAAAGGGGGGAAUAAAUUGGAUAUGUAAAAAUUCCUGGUCCA